Oncorhynchus kisutch (coho salmon) is the source of this 965-nucleotide long non-coding RNA. RefSeq lists it as uncharacterized. The transcript is spliced from 2 exons. The record is from RefSeq and is a predicted model, not a curated record. NCBI's taxonomy places the organism in Eukaryota, Metazoa, Chordata, Actinopteri, Salmoniformes, Salmonidae.
ACCGCUCGGACGAUGAAUAGGUAGAUGGUGUUGGGGAAGAGACCACUGACCGUGUGUUUCUCCAAUUUGACCAGGUCAGCCACCGUUUGCCAUGUACUGCCUGCUGAUUGGCUAAAAGAAUCCAACUCAGCGGCAAGUAGCCUAGCGGUUAAGAGCGUUGGUCCAGUAACCGAAAGGUCAGAGGCGUGUGUGAAACAAUUGUGGAGGCAUGCAGAAGCAUUGACAUGAUAUCUCUGCAUUGGCAUGAUUGGUUGACAAUAGGUGACGGCGGUACGUCCUGUAAAUCAACACAAACUUGACAACUUCCUUCACAAUAGCUCUGCUCCGCCAAGUGCAAUAAAUAUGAAAGCCCUGAUGACUGAGGAGGCUGCUUCACAGUAAAUGCUGUACACCACUUCAGACACAGAUUGACGUUUAGGCUGCCCGCAGCAACUCUCUGAUUCGGAGGGGUUGGGUUAAAUGCGGAAGAGACAUUUUGGUUGUGCAACUGACUAGGUAUAACCCUUCGUUAGGUUAUUGGCAAAGCAUUCCACCAAACAUUGCCAUGACUCAAUAGUGACUACAAACUGUUCCUCAGUCUUUUUUUUUACAGAGAAUCAGAUAGGAGCCACUAGAAUAGCAGAGCCCAGGCUGAAGCUGUUUGCCUAGUCAUUAAGUGCUGUGUUCAGCGAUGCUUCGCUGUCCCCCAUGCUCAUUUGACGCACUGCGUUCCCGAGCCCAGUGACAGAUCCAGGAAAUGAUGACGGAGCUAUUUUUAGCCCACUCAGGUUUUUAGCCACGACGCACCAUCAGACCAUGCCAGAGCAUCUGGUAAAUAACAAUAACGCCAGCUGUGUGUUUAUGACAAGUUUCUUUGUUCGUAAAAAAAAAAAAUGUGUCAUCUUAAAUAUUCGUGUUUUGCCUUCUAAUAAAUAAAGUGAUAAAUCUUGUGAACAAUGCAUCUAAUAAAGGCAGUUCCGUUUGCA